RNAcentral lists this ribosomal RNA (710 nucleotides) under uncultured bacterium. RNAcentral describes it as "bacterial SSU rRNA". It matches the Rfam family "Bacterial small subunit ribosomal RNA", at positions 781 to 1504 of the family's 1533-position model. The record is from RNAcentral.
GAUACCCUGGUAGUCCACGCCGUAAACGAUGUUCACUCGCUGUUUGCGAUACACAGUAAGCGGCUUAGCGAAAGCAUUAAGUGAACCACCUGGGGAGUACGAUCGCAAGGUUGAAACUCAAAGGAAUUGACGGGGGCCCGCACAAGCGGAGGAACAUGUGGUUUAAUUCGAUGAUACGCGAGGAACCUUACCUGGGCUUAAAUGUAGAGUGCAUGCGGUGGAAACACCCUUCCCUUCGGGGCUCUCUGCAAGGUGCUGCAUGGUUGUCGUCAGCUCGUGCCGUGAGGUGUCGGGUUAAGUCCCAUAACGAGCGCAACCCUUACCGUUAGUUGCCAGCAGGUUAAGCUGGGGACUCUGGCGGGACUGCCACCGUAAGGUGAGAGGAGGGUGGGGAUGACGUCAAAUCAGCACGGCCCUUAUGUCCAGGGCUACACACGUGUUACAAUGGCCGGUACAGAGGGCAGCUACUCCGCGAGGAGAUGCUAAUCUUUAAAGCCGGUCUCAGUUCGGAUUGGAGUCUGCAACCCGACUCCAUGAAGUUGGAUUCGCUAGUAAUCGCGCAUCAGCCAUGGCGCGGUGAAUACGUUCCCGGGCCUUGUACACACCGCCCGUCAAACCAUGGGAGCUGGGGGUGCCUGAAGUCUGUGACCGCGAGGAGCGGCCUAGGGUAAAACCAGUGACUGGGGUUAAGUCGUAACAAGGUAACCAAU